UGGUCCAAGCUUUCCCAAGCCUUUAUUACAAAUUGACCAUGUGUUAAGUGUUAACACUUCCUGAUGAUAGCAUCACAAAUGAUUGGGGACCAGGCAGGAAUAAAUUCUUAAUUUCUUGAGCUUCUAAUCUUCAUCUCCCAUCAAUUUGAAAAUGCUUUCCUCUACUUAAACAACCUGUUGUGUCCCCCACUGUUACUUAAGGUGGGGCAGUAUCCAAUGAGGAGAGCCAGUUAGGAUUUGUGCGCCUUCUAAGACCAGUUCAAAAUUUCAAUACAAAAUGUUUGUGAGGGACAUUGAAAGUAUAUGGAUUAAUACAGUGAAGAACUGAAAUAUGCUUUUGGAAAUACAUGUCAUCACCAUAUUGAACUAGAUGCUAACCUUUAAAAGUUACAAAUGUAUCCAGUAUGUCCAUGGGAUGAGGAAAUGAUUAAAGAUCAAUUAGAUAUUACCAUGGUGCAGCCACAAUGAAGGAAAGUUUCAAAGAUAUGCUGAUCUGAGAAUAGGAUAAAAUUUGGAAUCAAAGGAUCUGCAGAUUAAUCAUGUACCCUAGCUGAGCUUGCAUACAUGACGGAGUUCUGAUGUUGGCACUCAUUUAAAGGAAA
This is a long non-coding RNA of Saccostrea echinata, 602 nucleotides long. RefSeq lists it as uncharacterized. The transcript has 2 exons. The record is from RefSeq and is a predicted model, not a curated record. NCBI's taxonomy places the organism in Eukaryota, Metazoa, Mollusca, Bivalvia, Ostreida, Ostreidae.